AACCUUGCGCAAUGGUCGAAAGUCUGACGGAGCAACGCCGCGAGAGUGACUAAUGAUAUCGGGUCNAAAAAAUUUUUUGUCAGCGANAAACAUCCGGGAUGACCUCCCGGUCUGACGGUACAUGAUCAGAAAGCCUCGGCUAACUAUGUUCCAGCAGCCGCGGUAAUACGUAGGGUGCAAGCGUUGUCCGGAAGUAUUGGGCGUAAAGCGCGCGCUGUCGUUUACGUAUGUGUGGUGUUAAAGCCCGCAGCUCAACUGCGGAGGGCCAAGGGAAACUGGGAGACUUGAGUGUAGGAGAGGAGAGCGGAAUUCCACGUGUAGCGGUGAAAUGCGUAGAUAUGUGGAGGAACACCCGUGGCGAAAGCGGCUCUCUGGCCUAUAACUGACGCUGAGGCGCGAAAGCGUGGGGAGCGAAC
Molecule: ribosomal RNA, 416 nt
Filed under: uncultured bacterium
Lineage: Bacteria
Description: partial 16S ribosomal RNA
Rfam family: Bacterial small subunit ribosomal RNA
Source: RNAcentral